GGCCGCCCUCACCACCGGCACCCGCGGCAGCCGCCUCCUCUUCUCCCGCGGGCUGGGGGCCCCGCCGGGCGGGGGGGGCGCCGCCGCCAUGCGCAGCCCGCAGCUUCGGCAGGCGCCUCAGGCAUGGGGAAUCGGGUGUCACUACAGCGAGGCAGCGCUAGGAGACUGCAGACGGAUCCGGUGUCACAGAGCCCCCUCCACCCUCUGCCAGGGCCCUGCUGGUUGGAUCGGAUAAGCUGUAGGUCAGGGAUCAGGUUUACUUGGGAAUGGCAGAGAUGGAACUGUUGGACAUCCCUGGCAUUGUCUCAGAAGAGAAAGGAUGAGGCCGUUGCUUCAGAAGGCCCAUGAUCCUUGAAUGCUCUUCCUCAACAAUAUGCAGCAGACUACAGGAGAUGGC
Long non-coding RNA from Mauremys mutica (yellowpond turtle), 397 nucleotides. RefSeq lists it as uncharacterized. The record is from RefSeq and is a predicted model, not a curated record. The transcript is spliced from 3 exons. NCBI's taxonomy places the organism in Eukaryota, Metazoa, Chordata, Testudines, Geoemydidae.